RNAcentral lists this ribosomal RNA (547 nucleotides) under uncultured bacterium. RNAcentral describes it as "partial 16S ribosomal RNA". It matches the Rfam family "Bacterial small subunit ribosomal RNA", at positions 355 to 895 of the family's 1533-position model. The record is from RNAcentral.
UGGGGAAUUUUGGACAAUUGGGCGAAAGCCUGAUCCAGCAAUGCCGCGUGUGUGAAGAAGGCCUUCGGGUUGUAAAGCACUUUUGUCCGGAAAGAAAUCCUUGGCUCUAAUACAGUCGGGGGAUGACGGUACCGGAAGAAUAAGCACCGGCUAACUACGUGCCAGCAGCCGCGGUAAUACGUAGGGUGCAAGCGUUAAUCGGAAUUACUGGGCGUAAAGCGUGCGCAGGCGGUUUGCUAAGACCGAUGUGAAAUCCCCGGGCUCAACCUGGGAACUGCAUUGGUGACUGGCAGGCUAGAGUAUGGCAGAGGGGGGUAGAAUUCCACGUGUAGCAGUGAAAUGCGUAGAGAUGUGGAGGAAUACCGAUGGCGAAGGCAGCCCCCUGGCAAGUACUGACGCUCAUGCACGAAAGCGUGGGGAGCAAACAGGAUUAAUACCCUGGUAGUCCACGCCCUAAANGAUGUCAACUAGUUGUUGGGGAUUCAUUUUCCUUAGUAACGUAGCUAACGCGUGAAGUUGACCGCCUGGGGAGUACGGUCGCAAGAUU